GGAGAUAUGGCCGAGCGGCUUAAGGCGCACGAUUGGAAAUCGUGUUGAGGGCAACCUCUCCAGGGUUCGAAUCCCUGUAUCUCCGCCA
Molecule: transfer RNA, 88 nt
Filed under: Alphaproteobacteria bacterium
Lineage: Bacteria; Pseudomonadati; Pseudomonadota; Alphaproteobacteria
Also listed under: 1 other name
Description: tRNA-Ser
Rfam family: tRNA
About the family: Transfer RNA (tRNA) molecules are approximately 80 nucleotides in length. Their secondary structure includes four short double-helical elements and three loops (D, anti-codon, and T loops).
Source: RNAcentral